CGGGGCGUAGCGCAGCCUGGUAGCGCAUCCGCUUUGGGAGCGGAAGGUCGCCGGUUCAAAUCCGGCCGCCCCGACUA
This 77-nucleotide transfer RNA is filed under the name Actinobacteria bacterium 13_2_20CM_68_14. Its description in RNAcentral is "tRNA-Pro". It matches the Rfam family "tRNA". From Rfam's summary of the family: Transfer RNA (tRNA) molecules are approximately 80 nucleotides in length. Their secondary structure includes four short double-helical elements and three loops (D, anti-codon, and T loops). The record is from RNAcentral. RNAcentral also lists the same sequence under 1 other name. Lineage: Bacteria; Bacillati; Actinomycetota.